This is a long non-coding RNA of Corvus hawaiiensis (hawaiian crow), 3103 nucleotides long. RefSeq lists it as uncharacterized. The transcript has 3 exons. NCBI's taxonomy places the organism in Eukaryota, Metazoa, Chordata, Aves, Passeriformes, Corvidae. The record is from RefSeq and is a predicted model, not a curated record.
CUUACUGGGUUAAAAUCUGAGACACUUCCUAUUUAUUUGAACAAUCCCCCACUAAGUUCAAUGCAGUUGUACUGAGACAAAACUACAGUGAGGACUGCUGAACAGAAAUGCUCACAAUUAUCAACUAAUUAUCCCAGGAAAUCUACUGCUGUAGGAGACACUGUUGCCCUUGAUCUCAUGAGACAGAAGGACCAGAACACUGAGAGCUGUGGCACUCCUUUCUAGCCUUGACCCCAGCUCUGGGAAGACUGCUGUUCCUCCUGAAAAGCCACUCCUGGAAGAGGACCAUAGUAACACAUCCUAGACUAUUUCAGCGGGGUAAAACACAGGGCAAGCUGCCCACAAAUACGCAUGGUUCAGCUGUCCCUUGCUAUCCUUUUGCUGGACUGCAUGCUAAUGCCCUGUGAUGUGCCAAAUGUGGAGAGAACCAGUUGCAUAUGCCAUGCUUUACUGGAGGGGAUGAAACCUCUGAAAAGCAGCAGGAAAGCCCUUGCAAAGAAAGUCUUGAGCUCGAAUCUGAUUGUCCAAGUCACAAGAAGAACUCCUCCACAUCCCUAGCAAAAGAUGCUGUGAGAAGAAGAUGGAGUACAAAUUUAAUUCAUCUGCUUUUUCUCUACGUGCCUUUGUGCCCCAGAUACCUCCAAAGGAAAGGAGAGGACAGUUCUGUGGAGCAGUUCUCUCUCUUCUUUGCUCAUGCUGUGAUUAGCAGACAUACCCCUGGGUGAGUGGUGAGGAACACUGAAACUUCUCUUUUUCUCUUAAUGAAAAAGUAGUCAAGGGAAUAUUUUGGACUCUAAUUGCUUCAGCAGUGAGGUGAAAGCAGAUUUUCUUGCAAACUCAGUUUCCCCAGUACAAGCAAUACAAGAAGGACUAAGUCCUUAAAAAAAAAAAAUUGGGUUGGGUUGAACUUAACAAAUGAGGAUGUGGUAUUUUCUGGCCAUAAAUUAGAACCUUCCAGCUCUCUGACAGGAAAGUGCGAGUCACUCUUCUGGAGGGCUGAGAGUGCACAGGGCCACUGACAUGGCUAUUCCUGAAUCCAGAGCUGCAGUACUACAGUAUUCAUGUCAUCAGUUUCUCACUAAGGACUAAGGGGCUGAAGUGUGUUUGAAUGAGCUCUUCUCUGCAUUUCUAUUCAUGUAUCCACAUUACUUUUCUACUAACCUACUUCUGCUAAGAGAUGUGCAGUGUUCUAUGAGGCUGAUGUCUGGCAUACAGCUUGUCGACUGCCAGUUUAAUCCCUUGUAAUAAUAACUGGCAAGGGUUUAGUGGCUGUCUUUCACCACCAUCCCCAUAUUUCUGUUUCCUUAGUUUUUUUGCAGCUUAUUUGACUGCUGGUCAGAUGAAACCCGAUGAAGUUUGGUUUAAUUUCACUGUUUUUAGCAGUGCUUCACCAGUUCAGACUGGUUGAGAAUUUUUUCUCAACAAUAUUCUUUGUACCAGGACUUCUUGUUUUGCAUACAAAACACAAACAAGUAAUGAGUUAUGUGGCUGUAUCAGUCCAGGCUAUGUGUAUAUGGCUCAGCAGACAGCUCCAAGCACUGGUUUUCCCAUUGGGUAUUGUGGUGGGGUGGGUGUACAACAUUUUAAAGACGCACAGAGUGUGCUUUGUAGACAGUCAUUCAGCUGUUACGCCACACAGAACAUCAAUGGGAUUUUGGAGAUUUGUUAAAUGUCUGUCUCUUAGUUGCCUGUGACCAGGGCAGGUAAGUAUGAGAGUCAGGUGUUUCACACUCCAAUUUCUAAACUUUAGCUAGUCUGCAAAUCCUGAUUUAUUCCCUCCCUGGCACAACUGCCUUGCUUGUUGUCAACAUUAAGAAUCAUUGUUCUAACCCUGAAUGUGUCAUGUGGUGGGUGUGAGAGCUUUGUGAUUUUGCAGGUUCAGCCUCUGGCAUCAGCGCUGCCUCCAUCACAGCAUCAUAGGACAACUUCAGUUCAUGCCAGGCACCAGCCUCGUUCUACCUUCUGACCUGUUCUAGCACUGGACAGCACUAUUCAGUAUAGCACUCAUGACUUGGUAUUCAUAAACCCUUUCCCUUGGGUUUUUUUCUAACAUACCUUUUCCUCGUGUUCUCCUACCAAUAUGACACACUCAUUGUAACUUCUAUGGAUGCAUUCAACCUUCUGGCUUCACUCAUCAUUCACCCCUGCUUCACCUGACACGCCUAUUAUUUUCCUACAGACAGGCAAUGUGUCUUAAAUUUACAGUUCCACAAGCUUUGAAUUUUGUUUGCUGGAUUGCUGAAAUUCUGUGUCACCUCUUCCACCACCCUUUAAAGGGAAAAAUACUCCCAUCAGAAACUACCCCUGGUGGUCGAUAUUUGGUGAUUUAAUUGGGAAUAAGGACAUUAUCAUAGUUAGAAGAUCAUAGAAGAUCAUGUGGCUUAGAGCUCAGAUACUGUAACAAAAGGGACUUUGGAAUAUGGCAAUAUUAAUAGGUUUCAGGGGGAAAAAAGAAUCCUAUGAUGAAAUCUGUUAUAAUGGGGGCACUAUCAGGAGAGAGGUGGUGGAAGCUUCCCAGUUAGGAAACUAUUAGCAGAAAUUCACAAUUUAAGAACUUAUCCUAGAUAAAGAUUGUAGAUCAGCAAGAAGAGUGAGAAGAUGAUGAAGUUUCCAAGUUUCUCACACUGUGAUCUGUUGGAACAUGAGUGUAAUACCUACUUCAUGCAUCCCUAGACAAAGCCAAACUAUCACCCAUGUAACAGACACUGAGCAGAGCAGAGGUUAGACAUUCUCCUCCUCUCUGUAAUGGGAUGUGGUUGGUGGAAGUGCACAGAUUAGCAGACAAAGCCGUGCCUAAUGUUAUUAGCUGAAUGCUUUCAUGGAGCUAUGGCAUUAUGGAACUUCAGCAGAAAUGUCUCACUGACCAACCUGAUGGUCUCACUAGGUUAACAGAUAAAGAAUUACUUUUAUUUUCAGCCCUACAUAACAAAUCAUGGGGGUUCAGGGCCCAGGCACUCUAAUAAUAGUGUUAGCAAAUAAAAUGUGCGUGUAAGUAUAUGUAUAUGUUGAUAUAUAGAGAUAUUCCAGAUGCAUUUAAUUGACAGUGUAGUGAAUGUUCUGAAGACCACAAUUAUUUACUGAAAUAAAGCACUAGGAAGAAUGA